Papio anubis (olive baboon) is the source of this 52-nucleotide non-coding RNA. The record is from Rfam. Lineage: Eukaryota; Metazoa; Chordata; Mammalia; Primates; Cercopithecidae.
GGGAAACGGGAUGAGGGGCCUGCCCCAGGCCCCGAAAGAAGCAUAUGGGGCA